CAGUUAGUUAUUAAUCCCCAGG
This 22-nucleotide microRNA is filed under the name Alligator mississippiensis (American alligator). RNAcentral's name for it is "Ami-Mir-1641_3p* (star (passenger))". RNAcentral also lists the same sequence under 2 other names. Lineage: Eukaryota; Metazoa; Chordata; Crocodylia; Alligatoridae. The record is from RNAcentral.